RNAcentral lists this ribosomal RNA (500 nucleotides) under uncultured bacterium. RNAcentral describes it as "bacterial SSU rRNA". It matches the Rfam family "Bacterial small subunit ribosomal RNA", at positions 8 to 488 of the family's 1533-position model. The record is from RNAcentral.
AGAGUUUGAUCAUGGCUCAGAACGAACGCUGGCGGCGUGGAUAAGACAUGCAAGUCGAACGAGACAUUGUUUGUAGCAAUACAGACGAUGUCUAGUGGCGCAAGGGUGCGUAACACGUGGGGAAUCUACCGAGAAGUGGGGGAUAGCUCGCCGAAAGGCGAAUUAAUACCGCAUGUGGCUAAAGAAGACAUCUUCCUGACGCCAAAGCCGGGGCAACCUGGCGCUUUUUGAUGACCCCGCGGCCUAUCAGCUAGUUGGUGAGGUAACGGCUCACCAAGGCGAUGACGGAUAGCUGGUCUGAGAGGACGACCAGCCACACUGGAACUGAGACACGGUCCAGACACCUACGGGUGGCAGCAGUCGAGAAUUUUUCUCAAUGGGGGAAACCCUGAAGGAGCGACGCCGCGUGGAGGAUGAAGGUCUUCGGAUUGUAAACUCCUGUCAUUAGGGAACAAUUGUCGCCGAUUAACUACCGGCGGCUUGAUAGUACCUGAAGAGGA